CCUACGGGAGGCAGCAGUGGGGAAUAUUGCGCAAUGGGGGAAACCCUGACGCAGCAACGCCGCGUGGAGGAAGAAGGUCUUCGGAUUGUAAACUCCUUUGAUUGGGGACGAAUAAUGACGGUACCUGAGGAGGAAGCCACGGCUAACUACGUGCCAGCAGCCGCGGUAAU
RNAcentral lists this ribosomal RNA (170 nucleotides) under uncultured Clostridium sp. RNAcentral's name for it is "partial 16S ribosomal RNA". It matches the Rfam family "Bacterial small subunit ribosomal RNA", at positions 338 to 524 of the family's 1533-position model. Lineage: Bacteria; Bacillati; Bacillota; Clostridia; Eubacteriales; Clostridiaceae. The record is from RNAcentral.